UCAGGAUGAACGCUAGCGGCAGGCCUAAUACAUGCAAGUCGAACGAGAUCCAGGAGCUUGCUCUUGGUGAAAGUGGCGCACGGGUGCGUAACGCGUAUGCAACCUACCUUAAUCAGGGGGAUAGCCUCUCGAAAGAGAGAUUAACACCGCAUAAAAUCACAAGCUGGCAUCAGCAAAUGAUCAAAUAUUUAUAGGAUUAAGAUGGGCAUGCGUGACAUUAGUUUGUUGGUGAGGUAACGGCUCACCAAGACUACGAUGUCUAGGGGAUCUGAGAGGAUGACCCCCCACACUGGUACUGAGACACGGACCAGACUCCUACGGGAGGCAGCAGUAAGGAAUAUUGGUCAAUGGAGGCAACUCUGAACCAGCCAUGCCGCGUGCAGGAAGACGGCCCUACGGGUUGUAAACUGCUUUUAUACGGGAAUAAACCUCUUUACGUGUAAAGAGUUGAAUGUACUGUAAGAAUAAGGAUCGGCUAACUCCGUGCCAGCAGCCGCGGUAAUACGGAGGAUCCAAGCGUUAUCCGGAUUUAUUGGGUUUAAAGGGUGCGUAGGCGGCCUAUUAAGUCAGGGGUGAAAGACGGUGGCUCAACCAUCGCAGUGCCCUUGAUACUGAUGGGCUUGAUUACACUUGAGGUAGGCGGAAUGUGACAAGUAGCGGUGAAAUGCAUAGAUAUGUCACAGAACACCAAUUGCGAAGGCAGCUUACUAAGGUGUUAAUGACGCUGAGGCACGAAAGCGUGGGGAUCAAACAGGAUUAGAUACCCUGGUAGUCCACGCCCUAAACGAUGAAUACUCGAUGUUAGCGAUAUACAGUUAGCGUCAAAGCGAAAGCGUUAAGUAUUCCACCUGGGGGGGUACGCCCGCAAGGGUGAAACUCAAAGGAAUUGACGGGGGCCCGCACAAGCGC
This 909-nucleotide ribosomal RNA is filed under the name uncultured bacterium. Its description in RNAcentral is "bacterial SSU rRNA". It matches the Rfam family "Bacterial small subunit ribosomal RNA", at positions 24 to 932 of the family's 1533-position model. The record is from RNAcentral.